RNAcentral lists this long non-coding RNA (218 nucleotides) under Elaeis guineensis (African oil palm). Its description in RNAcentral is "long non-coding RNA (EGUI_LNC052576)". The record is from RNAcentral. Lineage: Eukaryota; Viridiplantae; Streptophyta; Magnoliopsida; Arecales; Arecaceae.
AGACAGUUACAGGCAUCACUGUCAAUCUGUUGCCCCCUCCGUCUAUAAAAGGGGAACCCCAGAUAUGUUAUUCUAUAAGCCCCAUUUUCUAUCUCAAAACUCUGCUAAAAUUUUUGUUCGAGCACUCCAUUCUUGUUGAGGCAGAGAAUUGACUUGAGCAUCGGAGGGUCUUGGCGGAGCAACCCCACCUCCGGUUUAGACUUCUUUUGCAGGUCCCG